AACGCACAUUGCGCCUCUCGGUAUUCCGGGAGGCACGCCUGUUCGAGCGCCAUUACACACUCCAAGCGAAGCUUGAUGUUGGACGAUGCGGUCCCUUGAGGGUCGCUAGUCUGGAACGCGUGGGCGCCCGCCGUCGGAACGUGAACGUAGCAAGACGUCAGUCAAAGUCGUUCAGUUAGUUCUUACGGAGGGUAGCCUCAUCCUUCUAUCUAAGAAUUUGGCCUCGGAUCAGGCGGGGAUACCCGCUGAACUUAA
This 255-nucleotide unclassified non-coding RNA is filed under the name uncultured fungus. RNAcentral describes it as "sequence contains ITS2". The record is from RNAcentral. Lineage: Eukaryota; Fungi.